RNAcentral lists this small nuclear RNA (103 nucleotides) under Catagonus wagneri (Chacoan peccary). Lineage: Eukaryota; Metazoa; Chordata; Mammalia; Artiodactyla; Tayassuidae. The record is from RNAcentral.
GUGUUUGCUUCAGCAGCACAUACACGAAAUUGUUACAAUAUAGAGAUUAGUAUGGCCCCUACACAAAGAUGACACGCAAAUUUCUGAAGUGUUCCAUAUUUUU